Molecule: ribosomal RNA, 435 nt
Filed under: uncultured bacterium
Lineage: Bacteria
Description: partial 16S ribosomal RNA
Rfam family: Bacterial small subunit ribosomal RNA
Source: RNAcentral
GAUGAACGCUGGCGGUAUGCUUAACACAUGCAAGUCCAACGGACUCUUCGGAGUUAGUGGCGGACGGGUGAGUAACGCGUGAGAAUCUGGCUUUGGGUUCGGGACAACCACUGGAAACGGUGGCUAAUACCGGAUGUGCCGAGAGGUAAAAGAGAAAUUGCCUGAAGAUGAGCUCGCGUCUGAUUAGCUAGUUGGUGAGGUAAAGGCUCACCAAGGCAGCGAUCAGUAGCUGGUCUGAGAGGAUGACCAGCCACACUGGGACUGAGACACGGCCCAGACUCCUACGGGAGGCAGCAGGGGGGAAUUUUCCGCAAUGGGCGAAAGCCUGACGGAGCAAUACCGCGUGAGGGAAGAAGGCUCUUGGGUUGUAAACCUCUUUUCUUAGGGAAGAACAAAAUGACGGUACCUAAGGAAUCAGCAUCGGCUAACUCCGUG